AACGCACAUUGCGCCCCUUGGUAUUCCGGGGGGCAUGCCUGUUCGAGCGUCAUUUCAACCCUCAAGCCUAGCUUGGUCUUGGGCUCUGCCGGCAACGGCUGGCCUUAAAAUUAGUGGCGGUGCUAUCAAGCUCUACGUGUAGUAAUUAAACCCUCGCGUGUGAGUCUUGGUUAGACGCUUGCCAGCAACCCCCAAUUUUCUAUGGUUGACCUCGGAUCAGGUAGGGAUACCCGCUGAACUUAA
This 243-nucleotide unclassified non-coding RNA is filed under the name uncultured fungus. RNAcentral's name for it is "partial contains 5.8S ribosomal RNA, internal transcribed spacer 2, and large subunit ribosomal RNA". RNAcentral also lists the same sequence under 1 other name. Lineage: Eukaryota; Fungi. The record is from RNAcentral.